GUAACGAAAGCAUAUUGGUUUAAUUAGGGGUGUGACGACGAGACAGCCAAUGUGAAACUGUCGAAAUAGACCUUGCUGAAUCGUUGUUAUACAGGAAUACGAUUGCGUGGGUGUUUGAAUCUAGAUCGCCAAUCGCCAUCUUUAAGUGAUUUAAAGCAGCACUAUUUAACUUUUAUGCGCUCUAACGGUUAACAAACAGAACUCCACGUGUCCCGCGGAAGAACAUUCUAACCGGAGCAACUUCUCUAAGUUUGUCUAUGGUGGUCCACGCAGGAUGUGCAGACAUAAAAGUCAUCGAGGCAAGAAAACCAGCCGAUCAGUGCGAGUCGGGUCUCUCUUCGAGAGAUCAAAACUCAGCUUGUCAUCUUGGCUAAUAUUCAUUUACAGGUUUGCUCAGGGAUUGCGGAUUAGACAAAUUGAUAUGAUGCAAGAUGGCAUUGCAAAAAGUUCCAGAACCCUCUCUAAGAUGGCUCGUAUCAUGAGGAAAGUUUGCCACUGUGCUAUAAAACGAUACAGACGAAGACAUGGACAAAUGAUUGGAAGUGCUCGAGAAUUUGCUGUUCUUGAUGAAAGUAACUUCCGUCAUAAACGAAAGUAUGGACGAGGGAGAGCAUCAACAACAUGGAGGCGAAAAAAAUGGGUCUUUGGCAUGCUAGGUGUGAGGGAUAAAUGCAGACACCCAAUCUUGCGGCUUGUGAAAAGAAGAUCAAGACCUCACCUAAUCCCCAUAGUUGUAAAACAUGUGCGUCCAGGCACUACCAUUAUUUCAGAUGAGUGGAGAGCCUACCGGGGGGCUUUGGCCAAUAUGGGCUACAAACAUUUUACAGUGAACCAUUCCCAGUGGUUUGUAGACCCACACACUGGAGCUCAUUCACAACACCUUGAAAGAGCUUGGUUGACAUACAAAACAAGUGUAUGGAGACUAAGGGGGAACAGGACAGAGAAAAUGCUAAAAGAGCACCUCUCUCUCAUAGAGUGGACUCAUUGGCUUGGUGAAAAAAAUAAACGGGGGCCACUUGGGCGCCUAAUAAAAGAUAUUCACCAUCAAUUUCCUGUUUAGAGGACAACACACUGAACUUUUGAUUGUGUUUUAUGUAAUAUUUAAGUAAAAUACAAGUUAACUUGUCCUCUUGAUUUAAGGUGCACUGAUAUUUAAAAGCUUUGUUUAAUAAAAUGUGUAUUUUACCUUUUUAA
Molecule: RNA transcript, 1194 nt
Organism: Carassius auratus (goldfish)
Lineage: Eukaryota; Metazoa; Chordata; Actinopteri; Cypriniformes; Cyprinidae
Exons: 4
Source: RefSeq, a predicted model, not a curated record